Molecule: unclassified non-coding RNA, 317 nt
Organism: Dipodomys ordii (Ord's kangaroo rat)
Lineage: Eukaryota; Metazoa; Chordata; Mammalia; Rodentia; Heteromyidae
Gene: 7SK
Rfam family: 7SK RNA
About the family: 7SK was discovered as an abundant small nuclear RNA in the mid-70s but a possible function has only recently been suggested.
Source: Ensembl
GGAUGUGAGGGUGAUCUGGCUGUGACAUCUGUCACCCCAUUGAUGGCCAGGAUUGAUUUGGCUGAUCUGGCUGGCUAGGCGGGUGUCCCCUUCCUCCCUCACCGCUCCAUGUGCAUCCCUCCUGAAGCUGCACACUCGGUCGAAGGGGACGACUAUCCCCCAUAGAGGAGGACCGGUCUUCGGUCAAGGGUAUACGAGUAGCUGCGCUUCCCUGCUAGAACCUCCAAACAAGCUCUCAAUUCUCAGUACCACCAAAAGAAGACAAAAUAAAGAAGGUAGUAAGUCACCCCUCCAGCAGUGCCUGGCACACAACAGGU